Cyanistes caeruleus (blue tit) is the source of this 207-nucleotide long non-coding RNA. RefSeq lists it as uncharacterized. Lineage: Eukaryota; Metazoa; Chordata; Aves; Passeriformes; Paridae. The record is from RefSeq and is a predicted model, not a curated record.
UUAAAAGCUUGACUUAGCUUUUACAGCUGCAGAUUUUUAACUGCCAUCUGUGCUGUUUACCAUUUAUUUUUCAGCUACUACUGGACUGUUUUAAAAAAAAUCCCCACUUCUCAUAGUAAAGGCUAUAUGGUGCAUACAAAAUGGACAAAUGCAACCAUAAAUAUAAUUAAUAAAACGUCUAUCUUAAUUUAAGGGUUUAAGAAAUUA